RNAcentral lists this ribosomal RNA (257 nucleotides) under uncultured bacterium. Its description in RNAcentral is "partial 16S ribosomal RNA". It matches the Rfam family "Bacterial small subunit ribosomal RNA", at positions 1244 to 1500 of the family's 1533-position model. The record is from RNAcentral.
GGGAGGCGAAGCUGAGAAGUGGAGCAAACCCCAAAAAAGCCAUCCCAGUUCGGAUUGUACUCUGCAACCCGAGUACAUGAAGCUGGAAUCGCUAGUAAUCGCGAAUCAGAAUGUCGCGGUGAAUACGUUCCCGGGUCUUGUACACACCGCCCGUCACACCAUGGGAGAUGGAUAUGCCCAAAGUCAGUGACCUAACCGCAAGGGAGGAGCUGCCUAAGGUGGAGCCAUUAACUGGGGUGAAGUCGUAACAAGGUACC